AGCCCAUCUUAAUUAACAUGCCCGUGGAUUAGUGGCUUAAGCCCAUGCAAUGUAUAAAGAAUUGUUUAAUUGGCUUUCGAUAGAAAAUGAGAUGCGCACGUCAUCGGGCCUGCAUGAGUCAGUUAACCAGGCUAAUCAGAGUUACGGAAAGCCAGUCGAUGGGAAAGGUAAUUUGGCCUGCAUCAAACUAAACUCGGUCAAAAUCUCCUGCUGCCCACGAUCCCCAGCUGGCCAUGCUGCAAGCCUUCAAUUGUUUAAGAUAAUAAAGAGAAAAGGGAUAACUAAAAGGAAAGAUCCCAGUGCAUGCGACCAGGUCUAUGGCUAGAAAACUUGGAGCCUGCUCCAAGCUGCAACGGCCAGCGCCGACGUCCGUGAGAAGCCCCGCACGAUGGCAAGAACGCAACGUGAAGCUUGUCAACUAACCAUCACGAUCACAAGACCAUCGGCCAGAGGAAGGCGCCCGGUAGAAAUCAUAUUAAAGAGAGGAAAACUCUGCUGCUCUCCAACGCCGGCAGAAAUCCAUCGCAAAGCCAAAACGCUGCCAUCGCGGCUAUCUCCAUUGAUCUCCCCGGCCAGAAAAACAAUCGAAGAGGCAAAACACUAGCUGCUCAACAUGCGCCCAAUCACUAGAAGCUUGCCGCGCUAGCUAGCCUGCCGCGCUUGCUUGCCGGAAGACCGACUAUAAACAUCUGAAAUAUAUCAACGUCUUCAAGAAAGGUGAGAAGGUAGGAAAUCAUGGCAUCACUCUGCCCUUAGUCUCGGCCGUUUGGUUCGAGUCAAAGAACACCCUCCUUCCCAUGUGUGUCCUUAGUUUCGGCCUAUUGGUUCGGAUCAAGGAAUAUAUAUUUUUAUUUUUUUUGUAUGACACCAUGCCCUUAGGUUCGGCCCGUUGGUUCGGAUCAAGGAAAUUUGCAUAACCCCCAUGUCAUCAUGCUCUUCGUUUCGGCCCUCGCGGUUCGGAAUAAGAAUCAUAUAUUUUGCAUACCUUCGUUUUCGCAUUCACGGUUCAGAACAAGGAUCGUAUAUCUUGCAUGUCUUCGUUUUGGCCUUCGCGGUUCAUAACAAGGAUCAUAUAUCUUGCAUGUCUUCGUUUUGGCCUUCACGGUUCAGAACAAGGAUCAUAUAUCUUGCACACCAUCGUUUUGGCCUUCGUGGUUCAGGACAAGGAUCGUAUAUCUUGCACACCUUCGUUUUGGCCUUCGUGGUUCACGACAAGGAUCGUAUAUUUUGCAUACCUUCGUUUGGCCUUCGCAGUUCCGAACAAGGAUAAUGUUCGAGGAAACACCUAAAAUUAAUAUGUUAACAAAAAUCUUAAUAUCCGCUCUACGCAUGGGUUCUUCA
This 1341-nucleotide long non-coding RNA is filed under the name Brachypodium distachyon (stiff brome). Its description in RNAcentral is "long non-coding RNA (BDIS_LNC005602)". Lineage: Eukaryota; Viridiplantae; Streptophyta; Magnoliopsida; Poales; Poaceae. The record is from RNAcentral.